UUCACUCUUUUUGACGGGCUUAGGAGACAACCCUUACAGAAUUUUCUCUCCUCUCUUUAAAGCUCAGAACUUGGAAGAAAAGAGGGAGAAGAACUUUUGGCCUUUACAACAAUUUUGAGCUCUAAAAAUCACAAAACAAGAUCAGGAUUUCGGUGUGUAUUGGUGCCCUUUCAAUGCUGAAUGAGUGGGGUAUUUAUACACCCCAACCCAGUUUGAAAUUUGAGC
RNAcentral lists this long non-coding RNA (225 nucleotides) under Musa acuminata (dwarf banana). RNAcentral's name for it is "long non-coding RNA (MACU_LNC009912)". The record is from RNAcentral. Lineage: Eukaryota; Viridiplantae; Streptophyta; Magnoliopsida; Zingiberales; Musaceae.